UCUCUCCCGUCUUCCCUUUUCAUCGUCGUUUCUGCGCGUGUGGAGAGGCGUCACACCCCGUGGUGACAGGACCCGCGCCAAGUGCGCCCCCAGUUGUGCGACGCCUUCACCGCUACGCCGUAUCCUUGCUGAUUUGUUUCUCACACGCGCAUGCUCAGGUCUCUCUUAUUUUUUUUUUCUCUCUGCGAGCUUGCUCAGCCACCCCGCACACCGCGACUCCCCACCACCUCAUGCUGAAUGGCAUUGCUCGUGUUGUGCUCGUCAGCGCGACUGUGUUUGGUGAGCUGAAGGGGCAUGAUGGUGUGCUGUGCCCGAUUUAUAUGCUCGAAAGAGAAGGGCGCUGUCUCUUACCCCUCGUACGUGGCCGCAUGGGCAAGCACAGAGAGAGAGUCGCCAGUCUCCAGAGAUGAUUGCGACCAAGAGUGCACACCAAUUAGGCGGAAACAACCAUACAACUCCAACCCGGCAUCAUAGCAAGAGAAGCGGAGCACAAGAAUAUCAACGCCGCCCGCACACACGCGCGCAUGUGUGCGCCGAUGUGCUACACGAUCAGUGACCGCCUUCCACUUGGAGGUGGGCUCAAGGAGGGUUAGAAGGAUGGAGGGCCAACAAUGCGCCCACGACUCGUGAGGGGAUGAGAGGUUGGAGGGCAGGUCUUCAGGCGUCAAUGCAUGCAUUCGCGCUUCACCGUUUUCUGAAAAAAUCCUCUUUCCGCUAACGACGGGCGGACGCGCAUCUCGCAGUGCGUGGCAUCACAGGGUCCAAGUGCCCCCACACUCUGCGUCGGGGGAGGCCAGGUAGCUCCCCCUCCCCCGUCACCCCUCCCUCCAUCCCUGCCCAUGCCGAACCACUUCUGGUGGUGGCAGGGCCAGGUCGCUACGACGUUGGGGUGGGGGAGACAGAGCGAUGCACCGCCACUGAUGUCGGCGGUGAGGCCGUGGAUGGCACCGCGUUGGAGCCACCUGCGAAGCGAAUGGCGUGCGUGUGGUGUCUGGGUGAGAGGCCGUGCUCUCAGAUGGCUGGGCCGGCGCAUGGCUGCAGCGCGUGCGUCUACGGCUGCUCGGCACCGUGCGAUGGGUGCCGGUGGGGCACGUCUGCAGGGGGUAGAGCGCCGUUUGGGCUCAUGCUGUAUGACAGAGAGCGGCUACGUGGAAGAACGAAAAAAGCGGCGCACCACCAUCACCGUCUCGCCCUCCUCCCCCUCUCUUCGUCGUCUCUUCUCUGCUCACCCCGUGGCAGCGGUGGCAACGCAAUAUCAACGUGCCACCUCAGCUGCGCUACUCUUACCGCUUGCUGCGUUGUCUCACUCGCAUCUCCUCUGCCUCCCCGCCUCCGCUUCUGCUCCGCGCACUUCGCGUCUUUGUGUCUGUGUAUCUUCUGUGUUGCGAUGCCAG
This 1394-nucleotide unclassified non-coding RNA is filed under the name Leishmania donovani. RNAcentral describes it as "gene:unknown". Lineage: Eukaryota; Euglenozoa; Kinetoplastea; Trypanosomatida; Trypanosomatidae. The record is from RNAcentral.